UCCCGGGAGAUCCAGUGGUAAGGACGUGGCGUUUUCACUGCUGUGGCCCGGGUUCAAUCCCUGGUCAGGGAA
Molecule: non-coding RNA, 72 nt
Organism: Bos taurus (domestic cattle)
Lineage: Eukaryota; Metazoa; Chordata; Mammalia; Artiodactyla; Bovidae
Source: Rfam